This 468-nucleotide ribosomal RNA is filed under the name uncultured bacterium. RNAcentral describes it as "partial 16S ribosomal RNA". It matches the Rfam family "Bacterial small subunit ribosomal RNA", at positions 28 to 507 of the family's 1533-position model. The record is from RNAcentral.
GACGAACGCUGGCGGCGUGCUUAACACAUGCAAGUCGAACGGAAAGGCCCUGCUUUUGUGGGGUGCUCGAGUGGCGAACGGGUGAGUAACACGUGAGUAACCUGCCCUUGACUUUGGGAUAACUUCAGGAAACUGGGGCUAAUACCGGAUAGGAGCUCCUGCUGCAUGGUGGGGGUUGGAAAGUUUCGGCGGUUGGGGAUGGACUCGCGGCUUAUCAGCUUGUUGGUGGGGUUGUGGCUUACCAAGGCUUUGACGGGUAGCCGGCCUGGGAGGGUGAACGGCCACAUUGGGCCUGAGGUAGGGCCCAGACUGGUACGGGGGGCAGCAGUGGGGAAUCUUGCGCAAUGGGCCGAAGCCUGAUGCAGCAACGCCGCGUGCGGGAUGACGGCCUUCGGGUUAUAAACCGCUUUCGCCUGUGACGAAGAGUGAGUGACGGUAAUGGGUAAAGAAGCCCCGGCUAACUACGUG